AAAAGACUUAGUCCUAACCUUACCGUUAGCUCUUACUCGACAUAUACAUGCAAGUAUCCGCACUCCAGUGUAAAUGCCCUUAGCCCCUUACCAAGGUAAACGGAGCAGGCAUCAGGCACACCACCUUAAGGCUAGCCCAAGACGCCUUGCUCAGCCACACCCCCACGGGUAAUACAGCAGUAAUUAACAUUAAGCAAUAGGCGCAAGCCUGACUUAGCCAGAGUAAUCAGGGUUGGUAAAUCUUGUGCCAGCCACCGCGGUCAUACAAGAAUCCCAAGUUAACUGUACACGGCGUAAAGAGUGGAGCCCGCCUAUCAUAUCCAACUAAGGUAAAACUGUAACCCAAGCUGUCAUAAGCACAAGGUACCUAGAAUCUCCCUCCCUUAGCACCAACGAUCAACCCACCCCACGAAAGCUAGGGUACAAACUGGGAUUAGAUACCCCACUAUGCCUAGCCCUAAACCUUGAUGUUUGUAUUACAAAAACAUCCGCCCGAGAACUACGAGCGCAAACGCUUAAAACUCUAAGGACUUGGCGGUGCCCCAAACCCACCUAGAGGAGCCUGUUCUAUAAUCGACAAUCCACGAUACACCCGACCACUUCUUGCCAAAACAGCCUACAUACCGCCGUCUCCAGCUCACCUUCCUGAAAGCACAACAGUGAGCUCAACAGCCCCAACCCGCUAGCAAGACAGGUCAAGGUAUAGCCUAUGAAGUGGAAGAAAUGGGCUACAUUUUCUAAGGUAGAAAAAUCCAACGAAAGAGGACAUGAAACCUGUCUCCUAGAAGGCGGAUUUAGCAGUAAAGCGGGAUAAUAAUGCCCCCUUUAAACAGGCCCUGGAGCACGUACAUACCGCCCGUCACCCUCCUCGCAAGCACCAGAUAUAUUAACUAAUCCACCAAACAGCUGAAGACGAGGUAAGUCGUAACAAGGUAAGUGUACCGGAAGGUGCACUGGCAUAC
RNAcentral lists this non-coding RNA (962 nucleotides) under Nestor notabilis (Kea). Its description in RNAcentral is "12S ribosomal RNA". It matches the Rfam family "Bacterial small subunit ribosomal RNA". Lineage: Eukaryota; Metazoa; Chordata; Aves; Psittaciformes; Psittacidae. The record is from RNAcentral.